CUUACCAGGUCUUGACAUCCCUCUGACCGGCUUAGAGAUAAGCCUUUCCUUCGGGACAGAGGUGACAGGUGGUGCAUGGUUGUCGUCAGCUCGUGUCGUGAGAUGUUGGGUUAAGUCCCGCAACGAGCGCAACCCUUGAACUUAGUUGCCAGCAGGUUAAGCUGGGCACUCUAAGUUGACUGCCGGUGACAAACCGGAGGAAGGCGGGGAUGACGUCAAAUCAUCAUGCCCCUUAUGACCUGGGCUACACACGUACUACAAUGGCCGGUACAACGGGAAGCGAAGGAGCGAUCCGGAGCCAAUCCUAGAAAAGCCGGUCUCAGUUCGGAUUGCAGGCUGCAACUCGCCUGCAUGAAGUCGGAAUUGCUA
This 369-nucleotide ribosomal RNA is filed under the name Paenibacillus sp. CPH-11. RNAcentral's name for it is "bacterial SSU rRNA". It matches the Rfam family "Bacterial small subunit ribosomal RNA", at positions 970 to 1337 of the family's 1533-position model. The record is from RNAcentral. Lineage: Bacteria; Bacillati; Bacillota; Bacilli; Caryophanales; Paenibacillaceae.